Molecule: ribosomal RNA, 1000 nt
Filed under: uncultured bacterium
Lineage: Bacteria
Description: bacterial SSU rRNA
Rfam family: Bacterial small subunit ribosomal RNA
Source: RNAcentral
GGCGAACGGGCGAGUAUAAAGUUUGUACCUGCCCUGAAGUCGGGGAUAACGCGCCGAAAGGCGUGCUAAUACCGGAUGGUCCCGAGAGGGUAAAGCCGCAAGGCGCUUCAGGAGGGGCAUGCUCCCUAUCAGCUAGUUGGCGGGGUAAAGGCCCACCAAGGCUAUGACGGGUAGUUGGUCUGAGAGGACGGCCAGCCGCAAUGGGACUGAGACACGGCCCAUACUCCUACGGGAGGCAGCAGUGAGGAAUCUUCCGCAAUGGGCGAAAGCCUGACGGAGCGACACCGCGUGGAGGAUGACGCGUUUAUUCGUGUAAACUCCUUUUCUAUGGGAAGAUGAUGACGGUACCAUAGGAAUAAGGGACGGCUAACUACGUGCCAGCAGCCGCGGUAAUACGUAGGUCCCGAGCGUUAUCCGGAAUUACUGGGCGUAAAGAGUUCGUAGGCGGUACGUUAAGUUCGGCAUGAAAGACCGGGGCUCAACCCCGAGUUUGUGCCGGAUACUGGCGAACUAGAAUCCGGGAGAGGUUGGCAGAAUGGUACGAGUAGGGGUGCAAUCCGUUGAUACGUACUGGAAUACCAAAAGCGAAGGCAGCCAACUGGAACGGUAUUGACGCUGAGGAACGAAAGCGUGGGGAGCGAAAAGGAUUAGAUACCCUUGUAGUCCACGCCCUAAACGAUGGAAACUGAGUGUCGGGCCUUGUGCCCGGUGCUUCGAAGCUAACGCAUUAAGUUUCCCGCCUGAGGAGUACGGUCGCAAGAUUAAAACUCAAAUGAAUAGACGGGGACCCGCACAAGCAGAGGAUCAUGCGGUUUAAUUCGACAAUAAACGAGGAACCUCACCCAGGCUUGACAUCCCGAGAACCUUCCGAAACCGGAGGGGUGCCCGCAAGGAGCUCGGAGACAGGCGCUGCAUGGUGUCGUCAGCUCGUGCCUUGGAGGUGUUCGGUAAGUCCGUUACGAGCGCAACCCACGCCGUAAGUACUAUGUCUACGGGACUG